Molecule: long non-coding RNA, 1249 nt
Organism: Branchiostoma floridae (Florida lancelet)
Lineage: Eukaryota; Metazoa; Chordata; Leptocardii; Amphioxiformes; Branchiostomatidae
Exons: 2
Source: RefSeq, a predicted model, not a curated record
CCUAAGUAACAAACUGUUACUGUGUUAGUUUUCACAUGCAUACGCAAUCAGAGAAAGAUCGUGGUAUGGAGCCUGCUUUAUAAGGACCAUUUAGUAUGCAGCAUUGGGAUGACAUAUCAAGGGAAAUUGUGCACAGUUGAAAAGUAUUAUUUAACAAAGCUUAAAAGUAUAUUUGCAUCUCUUACAAAAUGGUUAUUCUGUUUGAUCACUUUCUCGUCUAGUAACAGCAGUGAGAUGUAGGGUUGUCUCCAGGUUUAAUUUUUUCCCCAUCCCAAUCAUUGUUUCGGAGACCAUGUUUUUAGUUUUCAUUGAUAAAUCUGUCAUUUCAAGCUUGCUGAAAUGCAUGUUUAUCAAUUUCAUUCAUAAAGUUCAGGUAUUUUUGACAGAUGGAGUGAAAUUUUUGUUCAUUCCAACAAGCAAAUUUUAGACCCUGGGACAGAGGGAGAAACGGGUCCUGGAGACAGCCCUUGUGUGAUGAUACUGUAGUAGUAACUUGCCUAACAAAUUUGUGGUGCUACUAAUAUAAUAAUGUUUGCGUCUGCUUCAGCUUGACAAUGAUGAGUGUGAGACGAUUAGAAUCAUUUGGGAGAAUCUUUUAGUUCCUCUGGUGGUGGUCGGCUGUCCUUAACUUCUCAAAUUCCUGUCGUUAAACUUCAGGAAAUUCUGUGGGAAUUUUUUCUCGCUCAUCUGAUUCUAGUACUUUAUCCUUUCAAUCACAAUCAUAUAGCAUCUACAACAAGAAAUAUAGUAUCCAUCCAAUCUUUUAAUCAUUUCAUUAUCAUUUUCCCUCUUAAUCCAUCCACGUAGAUCAGACUUUCAUGGGUGAUUUCUUUCGGAGUCUAUAAAUGGCCAACUUUUAAUUCUAGACAUUCAGUGAACGCUUUCUACAAUCACUACUUAUGUUAUAUUAAGUUUGUUUUUAUUUGCAGGGCUCGAAAUACAAAGUGCAUGUGCUCCCCAAAAUUGGAGCUGUGCACCUAAUUCCUGUCUUUAGGUACCCUGGUGCACCUUGAUAUUUCUGUAAGAUGACGUACAUAAAUGCACUGUUGUAUUACUUUCUUGUAAUUUUCAAGUUCUUUAUAAAAUUUGGAUUUAUUUAACUUGUGUUGUGCACCAGAGUUUCUUUUAUUUUUAUGGGUUAGGUGCAUCAGGUUACCUUAUCGGUUAUCCUCCCAGAAUGAAUUUCGAGCCCUGCGUUGCCUAAGAUAGAUGUGACUGAUAUUAACGUUGAGCUUCUUGGCUGUCUUCA